Small nucleolar RNA from Zingiber officinale, 106 nucleotides. NCBI's taxonomy places the organism in Eukaryota, Viridiplantae, Streptophyta, Magnoliopsida, Zingiberales, Zingiberaceae. The record is from RefSeq and is a predicted model, not a curated record.
ACGCUAUGAUGGGGGAACUGUCUCAUCAUACUUUUGAAUCUAUUCCAGGCUUCAAAUAAUGUUUAUCAGUCUACCUGUUUGAAGCUUGCAAUCAGAUUCCUCAUAU